Molecule: long non-coding RNA, 2096 nt
Organism: Lates calcarifer (barramundi perch)
Lineage: Eukaryota; Metazoa; Chordata; Actinopteri; Centropomidae
Exons: 3
Source: RefSeq, a predicted model, not a curated record
GUAACACAGAGGAGCUGAUAUCCUCUUUCACGGGCAAUCAAACCCUUCUGUCUAUAAUUUGGACCCAUCAUCAUCAACAUGCAAAACAAACUUCGACUCUGUUCAUGAUGAGGACAGAUACUGGAACAGUGACAUGCUUGACAAUCACUUCCUCUGGAGACUACAUGGCCUGCAGAGCUUUAUGGGGAAUGUUACAUCAACAACUCUGCCUAAACGCAGUAAGAGGAUGAGGACACUGAUGUUUAUGAGCUGUGGCUGCUGCCAUCUCCUGGAACAACCAAAGAAUUGUAUUUUGAUAUGCCCAAAGACGUUUAGUGUGUUUGAGGACUGGUGACUGCCAAGACUCAACCACAAAACUUUUGGCCAAAAAUGGACAACAUGCCUUUGGUCUGAUCCUGCACAAGUCAUCAAUAAGAAAUUGGUCAAACAUCCCUUCACCAUUUCUGCUUCAGUAAAUUAAAUUAUAAAUUUAAAGCCUUUAACGUUAAACAUUUUAGAUUUGCUCUUUUCUAAGUCUGAAAAACUGCUACUGUUCUACAUAAGCUACCAUGUGCUCCAGUAUAAACUUAAAGGAGCAUAGUCAGAAUUUGAUGUACUGGUUAAAAGAUUGAAACAAUUCAGAUUAUACCAGAAACAUUCAUGUUUUGUUGUUUCAUUUUCCCUAAAACAUGUGACAAAAGCUGACCAAAUGUGUGAUUGAUGAUAUUCACAUAUAUCACAAUGUUUUACACGACCCGGCCUUAUAUCGUUUAUAUAUAUGGGAGUGCUGUAUCUUCAAAAAUGUAAGCAUUUAUUAUUAUUUAAUCUGUGGUUUAGUAAUUUAGAUAAAUUCUGUCACUUCUUUCAUAAGCCUAUUCAUCAGCAGUGACAGCUAAUAUGUGAGUGAACUUUUUUAAAUUCCUGUGCAGACAAGGAUGGGACUUCUGUUAAACAAACCCUCAUAUUCUCAAACAUUGUACAUGUGGGUAUAUGACUGUAUUAAUGUAGCUUGCAUGUCCUAUGCUGGUGGACCCCCAUGGUGAUAUCGCCGUCAAAGCAGCUGCCAUGACUACCGCCCCUCCCACCGUCAGCUCACCCUGUUGCUGUGGCUGUCCACAGCAACCUGGGAAAUUUCUGGUCCCUUUCAUCUUCCAGUACCACCCCAGUGGAGCAUUGGACAACUGGUAGCACUACUGUCAACACCUCCCUGUACAUGCCACGAACAGCUCAGCUUAGCCUUGUGGCAAACAUAGCGCAGAUUAGCAUGCCAGCAGCUUUCUUCCCAAACAUCUCUGACAGCAUUAGCUCAUGCUAAGUCAAGGGCGUAUGUCAGAGCCAGCUGUCAAGUGGAGGGAAUUCCUAGUGCUUCACUCAAGGUCGCUCCCACCAUUCAAAGCAAUGGUGCUCUGUCAUGGCUCCCACGCUAGGUGUUAACUCGGUAUCGCUAACAGUUUAGCUUGGAUGUCCUGGCAUGUUUGAAAGAGGGUCUUAACUGGUGCUUUACAUUCACGCAGAAGGGCCACAGUGUGUGAUCAUCACCUGUCACACAACACAGUGUGUCUUAUGAGGAGGUCACAGCAGAGGCAACUGGGAUAGAGGAAACUGCUAACCUGCUAUUUAUGGAAAAAAAAUGUCUUAAACACAGAUGACCUCAAGGUAACCCCUUCAUGGAUAAGGCUGGAAUUGAAUAAAAUGAUUAUACUUCCAACAGAUAUUGUUCAUGGCCAUAGCCUAAUAAACCUUACUCCAUUGUUAUCCAAAAACUAUUAAAUACACAUCACUGGGUCACAUCAUUGCACUGGGUAAAAUAUUCCUUUAUUACCAUGGACAUGGGCACUGUAGUUUAUUCUGAGUUAAUCCCACAGACACUGUCCUGAAGCACUGGAGUAGGUGCUAGAACACCAUAUGCAUAUGGAUCUGCUGAUUAGAUACUCCUGUGUGAGGAGUUUUUUCCUUCAAAAUACAGUGCCCAGCUGUUAUAGGAAAUUACCCAGCUUCUGAAACUAUACUGUACAUUUGUGACAUUCCUCAAAGAAUGACAUCUUCAGUUGGAACAGAUGUGUGUAAAAUGAUAUGCAAGACAUCUAUAAUAUUUCCUUGAUUAAAUUAUGCAACCA